GGACAAGCAUAACAUCAGAUAAAGAGAUCUUAUCUGAUACUCAGGGCAUGACCAUUGAAUUGUCAGAAAUGCCAACCCAACAUCGCUUUGUCCAAACAAAGUAAUAGAUGCACUCUAAACCCAUUUCCCUAGUUAUUAUAACAGAUGCUUCCCAUGGGGAACCUUCCCUAGUUAUUACAACAGAUGCUUCCCUGCAAGGUUGGGGUGCUGAAUGUCAGAGUAUAGCCACUGGUGGAUUGUGGUCACAUUGAGGCAAACGAACACAAAC
Molecule: non-coding RNA, 268 nt
Organism: Paramuricea clavata
Lineage: Eukaryota; Metazoa; Cnidaria; Anthozoa; Malacalcyonacea; Plexauridae
Source: the annotation of a GenBank genome assembly